CUGUGGUUCUGUGCACCCAUAUCGAGACAGCCACAGAAACUGAGGAUCCUGAGGUGCAGAAUCCAGGCCUGUGCAGGAACAAGGAGGGCAGACUGACCACGGGCUUGAAGAGCCGGCUCCACCUCUGCAUGAUUGUAUCUUCUGGAGAGUCUCCAAGCCCGUUUCCCUGGAGCACAGGGAAGUGGCAGAGCUGGGAUCUGAACUGAAAUCUCUGGACUUUAUGGACUCUGGCAUCAGAACCUAGGAUUUCAAACUUGGUCCUACUACUUCAAUCGAUGAAUGAACUUGGCGUAAAAUCCUGCGAGAUUGGCACUAUCUGGUCCAAAGAGACAUCAUCCCCGGUAAUGGCCAUCCUCCGGUGCGUAUACAGGAAAAGACUAAGGGCAGGAAGCAGAGGUAAGGACGCGGCCCACUGCCCCCACUCAGGCCCAUCUUGGAGGCCCUGAGUGCUUGUAUUCCCUCCUUGGCUCCCAGCACUGUGCUGGUGGUGCCCUGGCUAUGCACACUGCUUGUACGUGGAGCCCAUCUGAGCCUCCAGUUUUAUGGGUAAGGUCAUCAAAAAUGACCUUAUUGGGGGAGCUCCUGGCUUCCUUAGUGAAAUACACAUUUGAUCUACCCAUGGUGCAUUCUAACACUGCAUGUGACAGGAACAGUGCAACCUUAGCCACUCCCUUUCUCUCCUUGAACCUCAGUUUCCCCAUUUAUAAAACUAGGGUUGUGGAUUAAAAAAAUCUCUAAGGCCCCUUCCCUGCCAGCUCUGAGACCCUGAGCUUCACUACCAGCGAUGAGACCUUUGGCAAGUAUUAUUUACUCUAUCUGUCUGCUUCUACGCAAUAUGCAGGAAUUAUUAGGCAACAUUUAUCGAGAACUUUCUAUAUGCCUCAUGGUGUUUUAAACACUUUAUACAUACUGACUCACUUUAAUCUUUAAUCUGAACAAAUGGGUGCGGAGGAGUAAACCAACUUGCUCAAGAUCAAGUGACUUGUUAGCAACAAGGCAGACCGACCACAAGGCUCAAGAUCUGGACUAGUGUGUGAAACUCUUCUCAAGAAGCCUCCUCCUCAAAUCCUGAGCAUUAUAUG
Molecule: long non-coding RNA, 1082 nt
Organism: Lemur catta (Ring-tailed lemur)
Lineage: Eukaryota; Metazoa; Chordata; Mammalia; Primates; Lemuridae
Exons: 3
Source: RefSeq, a predicted model, not a curated record